GAUGAACGCUGGCGGCGUGCCUAAUACAUGCAAGUCGAGCGAACGGACGAGAAGCUUGCUUCUCUGAUGUUAGCGGCGGACGGGUGAGUAACACGUGGAUAACCUACCUAUAAGACUGGGAUAACUUCGGGAAACCGGAGCUAAUACCGGAUAAUAUUUUGAACCGCAUGGUUCAAAAGUGAAAGACGGUCUGGCUGUCACUUAUAUAUGGAUCCGCGCUGCAUUAGCUAGUUGGUAAGGUAACGGCUUACCAAGGCAACGAUGCAUAGCCGACCUGAGAGGGUGAUCGGCCACACUGGAACUGAGACACGGUCCAGACUCCUACGGGAGGCAGCAGUAGGGAAUCUUCCGCAAUGGGCGAAAGCCUGACGGAGCAACGCCGCGUGAGUGAUGAAGGUCUUCGGAUCGUAAAACUCUGUUAUUAGGGAAGAACAUAUGUGUAAGUAACUGUGCACAUCUUGACGGUACCUAAUCAGAAAGCCACGGCUAACUACGUG
This 497-nucleotide ribosomal RNA is filed under the name uncultured bacterium. Its description in RNAcentral is "partial 16S ribosomal RNA". It matches the Rfam family "Bacterial small subunit ribosomal RNA", at positions 28 to 507 of the family's 1533-position model. The record is from RNAcentral.